Molecule: transfer RNA, 66 nt
Filed under: Sarcophilus harrisii (Tasmanian devil)
Lineage: Eukaryota; Metazoa; Chordata; Mammalia; Dasyuromorphia; Dasyuridae
Rfam family: tRNA
About the family: Transfer RNA (tRNA) molecules are approximately 80 nucleotides in length. Their secondary structure includes four short double-helical elements and three loops (D, anti-codon, and T loops).
Source: Rfam by way of RNAcentral
AUAGGUAGUUCAGUGGUAGAAUUUUUAUCUGCCACAUGGGAGACCCAGGUUUGAUUCCUGGCCAAU